This 250-nucleotide ribosomal RNA is filed under the name uncultured bacterium. RNAcentral's name for it is "partial 16S ribosomal RNA". It matches the Rfam family "Bacterial small subunit ribosomal RNA", at positions 524 to 773 of the family's 1533-position model. The record is from RNAcentral.
UACGGAGGGUGCAAGCAUUAAUCGGAUUUAUUGGGCGUAAAGGGCGCGUAGGCGGUUUAGCAAGUCUUGCGUUAAAUCCCAUGGCUUAACCAUGGAAAUGCGCGGGAAACUGCUAGGCUAGAGUGUAGGUAGGGAAAAUGGAAUUCCACGUGUAGCGGUAAAAUGCAUAGACAUGUGGAGGAACACCGGAGGCGAAGGCGAUUUUCUGGUCUACUACUGACGCUGAGGCGCGAGAGCAAGGGGAGCAAAC